AAUCAACGCUGGCGGCGUGCCUCAGACAUGCAAGUCGAACGAUUAAAGCUCUCUUCGGAGAGUGUAUAGAGUGGCGCACGGGUGAGUAACACGUAAGUAAUCUACCCUCGAGUGGGGAAUAACGUCCGGAAACGGACGCUAAUACCGCAUAAUGCAGCGGCACCGCAAGGUGACAGUUGUUAAAGGAGAAAUUCGCUUGAGGAGGAGCUUGCGGCAGAUUAGCUUGUUGGUAAGGUAACGGCUUACCAAGGCUACGAUCUGUAACCGGUCUUAGAGGACGGUCGGUCACACUGACACUGAAUAACGGGUCAGACUCCUACGGGAGGCAGCAGUCGGGAAUU
RNAcentral lists this ribosomal RNA (341 nucleotides) under uncultured bacterium. Its description in RNAcentral is "bacterial SSU rRNA". It matches the Rfam family "Bacterial small subunit ribosomal RNA", at positions 32 to 363 of the family's 1533-position model. The record is from RNAcentral.